CAUGCGGCAUCUAUAAUGCAGUCGACGACUCUGGUAUUGAUUGGUGCUUGCAUCAUGAUUUACAUUUGAGUGAGUGGCGAACUGGUGAGUAACACGUGGGAAACCUGCCCAGAAGCGGGGGAUAACACCUGGAAACAGAUGCUAAUACCGCAUAACAACUUGGACCGCAUGGUCCGAGCUUGAAAGAUGGCUUCGGCUAUCACUUUUGGAUGGUCCCGCGGCGUAUUAGCUAGAUGGUGGGGUAACGGCUCACCAUGGCAAUGAUACGUAGCCGACCUGAGAGGGUAAUCGGCCACAUUGGGACUGAGACACGGCCCAAACUCCUACGGGAGGCAGCAGUAGGGAAUCUUCCACAAUGGACGAAAGUCUGAUGGAGCAACGCCGCGUGAGUGAAGAAGGGUUUCGGCUCGUAAAACUCUGUUGUUAAAGAAGAACAUAUCUGAGAGUAACUGUUCAGGUAUUGACGGUAUUUAACCAGAAAGCCACGGCUAACUACGUGCCAGCAGCCGCGGUAAUACGUAGGUGGCAAGCGUUGUCCGGAUUUAUUGGGCGUAAAGCGAGCGCAGGCGGUUUUUUAAGUCUGAUGUGAAAGCCUUCGGCUCAACCGAAGAAGUGCAUCGGAAACUGGGAAACUUGAGUGCAGAAGAGGACAGUGGAACUCCAUGUGUAGCGGUGAAAUGCGUAGAUAUAUGGAAGAACACCCAGUGGCGAAGGCGGCUGUCUGGUCUGUAACUGACGCUGAGGCUCGAAAGUAUGGGUAGCAAACAGGAUUAGAUACCUGGUAGUCCAUACCGUAAACGAUGAAUGCUAAGUGUUGGAGGGUUUCCGCCCUUCAGUGCUGCAGCUAACGCAUUAAGCAUUCCGCCUGGGGAGUACGGCCGCAAGGCUGAAACUCAAAGGAAUUGACGGGGGCCCGCACAAGCGGUGGAGCAUGUGGUUUAAUUCGAAGCUACGCGAAGAACCUUACCAGGUCUUGACAUACUAUGCAAAUCUAAGAGAUUAGACGUUCCCUUCGGGGACAUGGAUACAGGUGGUGCAUGGUUGUCGUCAGCUCGUGUCGUGAGAUGUUGGGUUAAGUCCCGCAACGAGCGCAACCCUUAUUAUCAGUUGCCAGCAUUAAGUUGGGCACUCUGGUGAGACUGCCGGUGACAAACCGGAGGAAGGUGGGGAUGACGUCAAAUCAUCAUGCCCCUUAUGACCUGGGCUACACACGUGCUACAAUGGAUGGUACAACGAGUUGCGAACUCGCGAGAGUAAGCUAAUCUCUUAAAGCCAUUCUCAGUUCGGAUUGUAGGCUGCAACUCGCCUACAUGAAGUCGGAAUCGCUAGUAAUCGCGGAUCAGCAUGCCGCGGUGAAUACGUUCCCGGGCCUUGUACACACCGCCCGUCACACCAUGAGAGUUUGUAACACCCAAAGUCGGUGGGGUAACCUUUUAGGAACCAGCCGCCUAAGGUGGGACAGAUGAUAGGUGAAGUCGUAUCAGUAGCC
RNAcentral lists this ribosomal RNA (1489 nucleotides) under Lactiplantibacillus plantarum. Its description in RNAcentral is "bacterial SSU rRNA". It matches the Rfam family "Bacterial small subunit ribosomal RNA". The record is from RNAcentral. Lineage: Bacteria; Bacillati; Bacillota; Bacilli; Lactobacillales; Lactobacillaceae.